GCCUCAUUGGCUCAGUGGCAGAGCGUCUGUCUAGUAAACAGAAGCACAGGUAAAGCGCCACAGGUUAAUGGCAGCUGAAUGGCAGGUUAAAAGCCGCCAGCAGGUU
RNAcentral lists this transfer RNA (106 nucleotides) under Caenorhabditis elegans. It matches the Rfam family "tRNA". Rfam says of the family: Transfer RNA (tRNA) molecules are approximately 80 nucleotides in length. Their secondary structure includes four short double-helical elements and three loops (D, anti-codon, and T loops). The record is from Rfam by way of RNAcentral. Lineage: Eukaryota; Metazoa; Nematoda; Chromadorea; Rhabditida; Rhabditidae.